GGAGAGGUGGCUGAGCGGCUGAAGGCACUGGUUUCGAAAACCAGCAUGCGCGCAAGUGCAUCGUGGGUUCAAAUCCCACCCUCUCCGCCA
This 90-nucleotide transfer RNA is filed under the name Planctomycetota bacterium. RNAcentral's name for it is "tRNA-Ser". It matches the Rfam family "tRNA". From Rfam's summary of the family: Transfer RNA (tRNA) molecules are approximately 80 nucleotides in length. Their secondary structure includes four short double-helical elements and three loops (D, anti-codon, and T loops). Further hydrogen bonds mediate the characteristic L-shaped molecular structure. tRNAs have two regions of fundamental functional importance: the anti-codon, which is responsible for specific mRNA codon recognition, and the 3' end, to which the tRNAs corresponding amino acid is attached (by aminoacyl-tRNA synthetases). tRNAs cope with the degeneracy of the genetic code in two manners: having more than one tRNA (with a specific anti-codon) for a particular amino acid; and 'wobble' base-pairing, i.e. permitting non-standard base-pairing at the 3rd anti-codon position. Lineage: Bacteria; Pseudomonadati; Planctomycetota. The record is from RNAcentral.